AACAAGUUUAUCCUCAUUACCAGCUAUAUAUAUAUGCCAGAAGCCUUCGUAAUCAUGGCAAUUCUACAUUUGGAUUUACAACCUGCUACCCCGCGCAAAGACUUUUGCGAGGGAAACCAUAGCUCCCGUAUAAUCGCCAGGCCUGCCAUUCAGGGACUGCUGCGUGGGACCUCCCAGAAGUCACCCAAUUUGGCUAAUCAAUAUAUAGAAUUGUACUAAUAACAUAAUUGGCACCUAACCAAACAGAAUCCACAACCCAAAAAACAUGUAAGUGGGCUGACCAAGUCUAAGACAACUUCAAAUUACACAGAGAUAAAAUAAACAACUUAUGUACCUUAAAUCUUAACAUGAAAUUUCCAAUAAAGUGCGACUGUCAAUGUGACUCAUAAA
Molecule: long non-coding RNA, 390 nt
Organism: Drosophila yakuba
Lineage: Eukaryota; Metazoa; Arthropoda; Insecta; Diptera; Drosophilidae
Exons: 2
Source: RefSeq, a predicted model, not a curated record